This 942-nucleotide long non-coding RNA is filed under the name Mustela putorius furo (domestic ferret). RNAcentral's name for it is "lncRNA (ENSMPUG00000025820.1)". Lineage: Eukaryota; Metazoa; Chordata; Mammalia; Carnivora; Mustelidae. The record is from RNAcentral.
GUUUUUAGCAUAACUCAUUUCAUUUGAGUCUAUCUAUUUUCAGAAGGGCCAUUGUGCCAAGGACAAGUCGAUCAAGUGACUUCUCCUAAGCGCUCUGGCAGUCCACCCCGAGGACACACUGCCAGCUGCUAACAGCACAACUGAGUUCAGUGGACCCAAAGCCGAAACUUACAGGGCUGACAAGGCUGGGCUUCCUCGCAGUGGGCUAGACCAGUUCUUCAAGAUGGGAUUCUAUGUGCUCAGCAAACUUCACAUCUCAUUUCACUGGCCCAUCAACCUCUUGAGCUGGGAUUAAUAGCCCAUUUUAUAGACGAGGAAACAGAGACAACGCAGAGAGCUUCAGUAAUCAAUGCAAGAUCACCCUUCUGGAAAGUAGCCCAAUCAGGAUUUAAACUCAAGUCUUUCUUACUCCAAAUGCCUUUUUUUUUCUAAUAGCCUGGCUAGCUACCCUCUGCACCCCGCCACGCUGUUGGAGAGCAACCAAGCAGCGGCCAUAAGCGGGAGGCAAACCAGCCCCUCACCAUGAAACUAUGAUUUCUGUCUCCAUUUUUGAACAUGUUGCUGAGCCUUCAGACAUUUUGGUAUUUUUAACCCAAAAGUGAAUCUCUCAAGACCAUUUUGUAAGGGAUAAAAGAAAAGUAUCUCUCCCUUAGACUCAAGAUCUAUGAAGACCUGGGUUUUGAGAAUUCGGUGACCUGUGCCUAACACACACUCUCACAAAUUGGUGACUCUUUUCUUCCUGAAGCCAAGGAGAAAGAGGAAUUCCAGAAAGAAAGGAGGGGGAAGCUCGUGAGAUUCUCCGGCACAGAAAAAUGGCUUCCAUAUUCUCCACUCUCUGAAAAAUGAGAUAAAUGGGUAAAGAGAGUGCCAGAGAGCUUAUGAGGAAAUUAAGAAUGCCUGCUGCUCCCCUGUGUGUUCCGAUAAUUAAAGAUUGAUUUAUGG